AACCAAAAGAUCGUCCCUUCUCCACGGUUAGAGGAUGCUCAUGGCUUUUACAGAGGACGUCGGCAAUCAGAACCACCAGAAUUCAUUUAUACUCCGGAAAAAGCCAGGAAAAGCCUUCCAAUGCUACUGGAGAGUAACCUGCCAUAUCAUCGAGGGCGCAGACAGUCAGCUCCUGCCAAAGACAUAGAAGUCGCAUUUCAACAAAGUG
Molecule: long non-coding RNA, 208 nt
Organism: Trichomycterus rosablanca
Lineage: Eukaryota; Metazoa; Chordata; Actinopteri; Siluriformes; Trichomycteridae
Exons: 3
Source: RefSeq, a predicted model, not a curated record